GAUGAAGAACGUAGCGAAAUGCGAUAAGUAAUGUGAAUUGCAGAAUUCAGUGAAUCAUCGAAUCUUUGAACGCACAUUGCGCCCGCCAGUAUUCCGGGGGGCAUGCCUGUCCGAGCGUCAUUGCUGCCCUCAAGCACGGCUUGUGUGUUGGGCCUCCGUCCUCCUCCCGGGGGACGGGCCCGAAAGGCAGCGGCGGCACCGCGUCCGGUCCUCGAGCGUAUGGGGCUUCGUCACCCGCUCUUGUAGGCCCGGCCGGCGCUUGCCGACACAUCAAUCUUUUUUCCAGGUUGACCUCGGAUCAGGUAGGGAUACCCGCUGAACUUAAGCAUAUCAAUAAGCGGAGGA
This 345-nucleotide unclassified non-coding RNA is filed under the name soil metagenome. Its description in RNAcentral is "partial contains 5.8S ribosomal RNA, internal transcribed spacer 2, and large subunit ribosomal RNA". The stretch from base 1 to 120 matches the Rfam family "5.8S ribosomal RNA", at positions 35 to 154 of the family's 154-position model. The record is from RNAcentral.